CAAAGGCUUGGUCCUGACUUUACUAUCAACUUUAGACGAAAUUACACAUGCAAGUAUCCGCACUCCUGUGAGAAUGCCCCACAGUUCCCUGUCCGGGAACAAGGAGCAGGUAUCAGGCACACUCAUCAAGCCCAUAACACCUUGUUCAGCCACACCCUCAAGGGAACUCAGCAGUGAUAAACAUUAAGCCAUAAGUGAAAACUUGACUUAGUUAAAGCUAAAAGGGCCGGUAAAACUCGUGCCAGCCACCGCGGUUAUACGAGAGGCCCAAGUUGAAAGACACCGGCGUAAAGCGUGGUUAAGCUAAAAUUUAAAUUAAAGUUAAACAUCUUCAAGACUGUUAUACGUAUCCGAAGACAGGAACCUCAAUUACGAAAGUAACUUUAUAUAAGCUGAAUCCACGAAAGCUACAGCACAAACUGGGAUUAGAUACCCCACUAUG
Molecule: ribosomal RNA, 442 nt
Filed under: Liparis liparis (striped seasnail)
Lineage: Eukaryota; Metazoa; Chordata; Actinopteri; Perciformes; Liparidae
Description: partial small subunit ribosomal RNA
Rfam family: Bacterial small subunit ribosomal RNA
Source: RNAcentral